GAAGAAAGAUCGUUUUUAGAUCAUC
Molecule: small RNA, 25 nt
Filed under: Arabidopsis thaliana (thale cress)
Lineage: Eukaryota; Viridiplantae; Streptophyta; Magnoliopsida; Brassicales; Brassicaceae
Source: RNAcentral